RNAcentral lists this ribosomal RNA (500 nucleotides) under uncultured bacterium. Its description in RNAcentral is "partial 16S ribosomal RNA". It matches the Rfam family "Bacterial small subunit ribosomal RNA", at positions 30 to 523 of the family's 1533-position model. The record is from RNAcentral.
AUUGAACGCUGGCGGAAUGCUUUACACAUGCAAGUCGAACGGCAGCACGGGGGCAACCCUGGUGGCGAGUGGCGAACGGGUGAGUAAUACGUCGGAACGUGCCCAGUCGUGGGGGAUAACGUAGCGAAAGUUACGCUAAUACCGCAUACGAUCUACGGAUGAAAGCGGGGGACCGUAAGGCCUCGCGCGAUUGGAGCGGCCGAUGACAGAUUAGGUAGUUGGUGAGGUAAAGGCUCACCAAGCCGACGAUCUGUAGCUGGUCUGAGAGGACGACCAGCCACACUGGGACUGAGACACGGCCCAGACUCCUACGGGAGGCAGCAGUGGGGAAUUUUGGACAAUGGGCGCAAGCCUGAUCCAGCCAUUCCGCGUGCAGGACGAAGGCCUUCGGGUUGUAAACUGCUUUUGUACGGAACGAAAAGGCUCUGGUUAAUACCUGGGGCUCAUGACGGUACCGUAAGAAUAAGCACCGGCUAACUACGUGCCAGCCGCCGCAGUAA